GAAUAUUUAAGUUAUUCAUAUACUUUUUUUGUAGCGUAUUUGCUUAGCAAGUCAAAUUGCGUCUUCUCUCUCCAUUUAGGCUAAGAUCCAUAGCUAUCAUUUUAGACAUUUGGCUUUUGGAAUUGUUGUAAAACUGAAAGGUGAAAGGUGAAAGGUGAAAGGAAGGGUAAAGGAAAGAGUAUUAGAAUGUGCGUUGGCAAUUAGUGGAGAGGGCCUAAGGGAUUUUGCAAAGUUUCUAUCCUCCAAUCCAAUGUGGACAAUCUCAACACGUCCCUCACAUGUGGAGUCUAUUGCUUAGUGGGAGAAUGCGGGAUCGUUGGCUUGCCAAAUGGAUAACUGACUCUGAGACCAUAUUAGAAUGUGAAUAUCCAACUAAUUGCCCAACAUCCUUUAAAGACUACUGCAAAGCUUCCACCCUCCAACGUGGGAGCUCUAAACAUAAAGAGCAGUGAGAGAAAUAAAACAUAUUAUAGUAAAUUGAGCUUAGACUCAUAAUAUUCAUUUUAAAUCACCUACAACCCUUUUCUUUAGUUUUCCAUUUAAAAUACCCAAUUUUUCAAAUAAUACCCGAUGACUAGGAUCUAAUUAAGCAAGUUACCUAAUAUAACUUAAAAUCUGAUUUAUUGUAUUUUUAAGAUUCCA
This 642-nucleotide long non-coding RNA is filed under the name Prunus persica (peach). RNAcentral's name for it is "long non-coding RNA (PPER_LNC003184)". The record is from RNAcentral. Lineage: Eukaryota; Viridiplantae; Streptophyta; Magnoliopsida; Rosales; Rosaceae.